RNAcentral lists this transfer RNA (63 nucleotides) under Ruminococcus flavefaciens. It matches the Rfam family "tRNA", at positions 6 to 65 of the family's 71-position model. Rfam says of the family: Transfer RNA (tRNA) molecules are approximately 80 nucleotides in length. The record is from RNAcentral. Lineage: Bacteria; Bacillati; Bacillota; Clostridia; Eubacteriales; Oscillospiraceae.
GAUAGCUCAGUCGGAUAGAGCGACUGCCUCCUAAGCAGUAGGCCGGAGGUUCGAUUCCUCUUC